UAGCUAGUUGGUGAGGUAACGGCCCACCAAGGCGACGAUCGGUAGCCGACCUGAGAGGGUGAUCGGCCACAUUGGAACUGAGAGACGGUCCAAACUCCUACGGGAGGCAGCAGUGGGAAUAUUGGGCAAUGGGCGAAAGCCUGACCCAGCAACGCCGCGUGAGGGAAGAAGGUUUUCGGAUUGUAAACCUCUGUCCUUGGGGACGAAGGAAGUGACGGUACCCAAGGAGGAAGCCCCGGCUAACUACGUGCCAGCAGCCGCGGUAAUACGUAGGGGGCGAGCGUUGUCCGGAAUGACUGGGCGUAAAGGGCGCGUAGGCGGCUCGGUAAGUUAGAAGUGAAAGUCCUGCUUUCAAGGUGGGAAUUGCUUUUAAUACUGUCGGGCUUGAGUGCAGAAGAGGUAAGCGGAAUUCCAAGUGUAGCGGUGAAAUGCGUAGAGAUUUGGAAGAACACCAGUGGCGAAGGCGGCUUACUGGGCUGUAACUGACGCUGAGGCGCGAAAGCGUGGGGAGCGAACAGGAUUAGAUACCCUGGUAGUCCACGCGGUAAACGAUGAAUGCUAGGUGUAGGGGGUAUCGACCCCUCCUGUGCCGGAGUAAACGCAAUAAGCAUUCCGCCUGGGGAGUACGGCCGCAAGGUUGAAACUCAAAGGAAUUGACGGGGGCCCGCACAAGCAGCGGAGCACGUGGUUUAAUUCGACGCAACGCGAAGAACCUUACCAGGUCUUGACAUCGAUGUAAAGCCCAAGAGAUUGGGUGUCUCUUCGGAGGACAGAAGACAGGUGGUGCAUGGUUGUCGUCAGCUCGUGUCGUGAGAUGUUGGGUUAAGUCCCGCAACGAGCGCAACCCUUAUUGUCAGUUACUAACGGGUGAAGCCGAGGACUCUGAUAAGACCGCCGGGGACAACUCGGAGGAAGGUGGGGACGACGUCAAAUCAUCAUGCCCCUUAUGACCUGGGCUACACACGUGCUACAAUGGUGAAAACAAAGAGAAGCGAGGCCGUAAGGCGGAGCGGAUCUCAAAAAAAUCAUCUCAGUUCGGACUGUGGGCUGCAACCCGCCCACACGAAGUUGGAGUUGCUAGUAAUCGCGGAUCAGAACGCCGCGGUGAAUACGUUCCCGGGCCUUGUACACACCGCCCGUCACACCAUGGGAGUUGGGAGCACCCGAAGUCAGCGAGAUAACCGGAUGGGGUCAGCUGCC
Molecule: ribosomal RNA, 1200 nt
Filed under: metagenome
Description: bacterial SSU rRNA
Rfam family: Bacterial small subunit ribosomal RNA
Source: RNAcentral